Melanotaenia boesemani (Boeseman's rainbowfish) is the source of this 519-nucleotide long non-coding RNA. RefSeq lists it as uncharacterized. The record is from RefSeq and is a predicted model, not a curated record. Lineage: Eukaryota; Metazoa; Chordata; Actinopteri; Atheriniformes; Melanotaeniidae. The transcript is spliced from 3 exons.
ACCGCAACACAACAAAAUAAGCCACAACGGAAGUUGUCUUUUUUUUUUUUUUUAAGAUUUUACCACCGGAAGUUAGCUACACCAAGUUUCAGUCCAAACAGAUGGGAAGUUGGAGAUUUUAGGAAGCAGCCGGAGAAAUCAUGUUUUGUCCAUAUUGUGGAAUAAAUCUACAGAUUGUCCUGCUAUACUGUGCCUCAUGCGGCAGGAGUAUUCAGUUUUUGAGAAGUCUUCAAUCGGAAGGUCCUGAAGCAACCAUGGUGGAUGAACUUAUUCACAAGUAUUUCGCAGAGGGCCAUACCUCUGAAAUAAUAUUGGACUUACUGGCAACCAAGCACAACAUUUCAAUGAGUCUCAGCACUUUAAAAAGAAGACUACGAGAUGCAGACCUGACUAAGAGAACUAACUAUACUCCUAUUGCUACUGUACGGGAAGCCAUUUCUGAGGAGCUUCAGGGAUCAGGCAGGCUUUUAGGAUACAGAGCAAUGUGGCAGAUUCUCAAACAAAAGUACUCAUUAACAG